UCAUUGAUGGGGCAUCCCAACAUCUUUCUGCUGAGGAGAUCAAAAGCUGGGAGCAUCUCAUAGAUGGAUAGGAGUCGUUUGUCCCACUGACAUAGCUGUGUGAGGUUGUAUAUUAUCACUGGAACCAUUAGGGUGUAUAUUGCUACAGUGGAGAGACUAACAAUCUGGAAAACAGACAGGGAGGUCAGCCUGCAUGUGAUCAGAUCAGGGAUGUGAGUCUCAUCACUUAGCAGCCCAGUCUUGAUGGAACAGCUGAAUUCCUCUUGGAAGAAGACAUCCAGAUGGAAGUGGCCAAGGUACAGGUAGGUGGCUGAUGUGAAGAGGAGCAAGAGGGAGUUCCUCAGGAGGUAAGUAGCCACUAGUGAAUGUGAGCGCUGCUUACAUGCCAGGUACCGCUCUAGCAAGGGGAAUUCAAAGUAUCGUUCUUUCCGAGCCCUGAGCAGGGGAAGAAAAGAGGCAAGGUUAGGAGGGACCAUUUAGAACCAUUUCCUGAGAAAGCCCAUGUGGGGAAGUAACAGAAGCUGUGUAUCUGACAUGGCCUUCUCCACACACAUGAAAAUAUGCCUUCUCUGAGCACAACCACUCCUCUCCCCAAAAUGAAGUGUGUGUGUAUAUCUUAAUUCUCCAAGCAAUGAGUACAGUGUGGUUAAACCCAGUGAAUGAUCAAUGAAUAAUGAAUAGUCACAUGGAUUUCUGCCCAGCAGAACGGACUAUACCUCCAAGCUGAAGUAAGAUACGUAGGAAGCAAUAAGGCUUCUUAAAUUAGCGCUGAACUGGGAGUCUAAAUAACCACAUUCUGGUCCUUGGUCUGUAUACUCUGUGUAUGAUUUUUAGACCAAUUCAUCCAUUUCAUAAAAAUAAAUGUGCUAACAAGUAUUUGUUGAGAGCUGUAGUGUUUAGGUACAUAUAAGCCAGUCUCUGCUCUGAAGAAGCUUACAGACUGGCUUAUGGGGAAGGGGCAGAUAAGAUUUGCAAAUAUGAGAUAAAAAUAGCACUUGAUUUGUUGCUAAAAUGGUAGAUACAAACCAUGGUAGUUGUAAAAGUUAGGAGAGAAAGGUGAACACUGGGCUGGAGUGUUCAGAAACCUUUAUGGAGAAUGUUGUCUUAGAGUUGGCCUUCAAAAGGUAGAUACUGUUCAGAAAGAGAUAGGAAAGGAACUUUUCUCAGAGGAUGGAGUAGGUGCACAAACAUGAGAAAAUAUGUUUUCAAAUCUUAGCCCAAUUGUCCUCUUGGUGGGGCCUACCCUGGCUGCCCUAUUUAAAACUGUCCCCUUCCUCAGUCUUCCAGCUUCCCUGAGCCCCCUUACCCUGCUUUACAUUUUUUCCCUUCAUACCACUUGUCUUCUGCUGUAUGAUUUACUUAUGUCUUAUGCUUUGUUCAUUGUUUUCUCUCAAUAUGAUGUAAGCCCCACAUGAGUAGGUGUAUCUUUCCUCCUCCCCACCCCCAACCCCAACACACACACACAGACACACACAGACACACACACAUAUCAGAGGCACCCAGAACAGUGCCUGGCACUCAGUAAAUGAUGAAUGACUGCUUAAGUGAAUGAAUGGCUUGUUUAGGAGAAAAGGAAGAGACUACCUAGGUAGAGUGGAAGGGUUCUGUCACUUGCUAGUUAGAGAGAAGUUUGAAAACGUAGUUUGUGAUGCUGUGGAGGGCCUUGGAAAAAUAUUUGGGAGAAUGUGGAUAUUUUUCUGUAGGCAUGGGGGGAGAUAUUUGAGGUUUCUGAGCAGGGCAAUGGUAUAGGAAAGAAAGUGGCAUUUUAGAGAGAUUAAUCCCUUUGUGACUCAGUGUGUUCAUAUGUAAGAUAAGGGUAGAGUUCUUUCUCUUCUCUGAGUACAGAAAUGAUAGACAGUUAGUGAGAUGUGUUAAGCACUUUGAAUUCUUCAGAAAGAUGGUAUAGAGGAUAGUUUACUCUGCAAGGACAUCAUUUUAAUGCUGAGUCCUUCACAAAGGAGUGGAAGAGACAACUCACUUCUCCAGCUCAUCCCAGAAAACAUGGGGGUCCGAGCUCUUCUGCCGGAUCUUCACCAUGUGCUGCACCAGGCGGAUGGAACGAUUAUAGGAUUUGUCCAGUUCGCUGAUGAUGAACAGCAGAUCUGAGCUGAGGGCUGGCACAGCUGCAUACUGCCACAGCAGAACUGGGAGGUACAUGACCACAGCCAGGGCCAGCAUGGAGUAAGGGAGGGCCUGUAGGACAAGAGUGAGCUGAGGAGGGAGGCCCAGGGUCCUGGGAUCUUGUGGAGAGAGCUGUGAGAGAGGGGCUCUCAUUCCCUGGUUCCUGCCUCAGAGGGGGAAAGCAAUAUGGAGAAUGAGUACCGCAAGCCCAGGACCUAAGGCUGUCUACUAACCUGGCUGAAUAUAGUGAAGCCCAGGAAAGAAGGGAUAGUGGAUCUCCAUGCUCCCCAGCUCCACUCUUCAAAUGUGGGGUCUGUGUAGGUGUGUAGGGCUCUAGGAACAGGAGAGGGGGAGGGGGAGGGAGAGCUGUGCUCCCCAUUCCCUGUUCCUCAUGCAUGUUAGCCUGAGUAGCUAACUAGAGAUCAUGGGAUCUUAGGGGAGACCGUCUUCAUUCCCAAUUUUCCGCCUUUCUUUCUUUGACUGCUCCAGGUUCUUAUCCGCAGACAUUGAGAGUUCACUAGCUUUUAAAUUCCAGCCUGGGACCCCAACAUUGCUGAUUUUUACUUAGCUGCUCCAGAGAGGAGGUCAAAUCCUAUUUCCUUCCCUGACUCCUCUCAUGUGCAGUGGUCUUUUCUCAUUUCCAGAUUCUUGGUAAUACAAAACCACACCAUCAGGUACUAUCUUGGAAUUCUUUGGGGCUAUUUUGGUAAGUAUGUAUGUAAGCUGACAUUGAGGUAAACGUAAGUCUUGUGUCCUAACUAUACUAUUUGCUACUUGAGGUAAGGGACUUUUCUUUAUGUUUUCUCAUCCUACUUACUACACCUAAAAGGGCUGGGCCCACUAUUUUGCCCACAGUUAAAACUGCUUAUAAAGGUUUUUUUUAAAGCUACAUUUGUACUAGGUGUUUAACAUGCAUUAUUUCACUUGAUCUUCACAAUGGUGCUAUGAGGUAGGUACUGUUAGUAUCUGUUUUACAGAUGAAGAAACUGAAGCAUGAAAAGGUUAAGUAACCUGUACAGGGUUACACUUCUAGUGGGUGAGUGAGCAGGAUUUGGAAUGAGACAGUCUGAUUUUGGAGCUUAUUCCCUUGACAACUACUUGACUACAGCUUAUCCUGAGCCAGAGACACUUUUUAUUUUAGAGGAAUGUUUGAAGAAAAAGAGGGAGGAUGCAUAUUUGGUUGCAUCUAGAUAGAGGAGAAAGGGGUGUGUGUGUGUGCGCGUGUGUGUGUGUAUGUAUGUGUGUUUCCCAUCUAAACAAGAGAGACAGGUUAAGAAAGGUAUAUUAGGUCACGAGAGAAAAUUAGAACGUUUUCACUCCUUUCCAAGAAAUGACAUUUCUUGAAAAUAGACUCUUCACCCCUAAGGUUUCUGUUCCAGUAGGGUUGAAGUGCAGCAAGAGAAUCUGGGUGCAGAGAGCUCUCAGACAAUCCUACUGAUCAGAUGGUUUCACUCUUUUCUGACAUCUGAAUCCCCUCUGCAGUAUCUUGAACUUGUUGCUGUCUAGAUCCUGCUUAAACACUUCCAGUGACAGAGAUCUCAAGGACUCUUUCCACUAAGUCUCUGGUUUUGUCUAGGUCCUAGAACUGUAGCAUUCUGAGGCCUUGUAAAUUGUCAUACCUAGGGAGUGUUAUGAGUGACUUCUGAUUAAACAUUGUAAAUUGGGUGUACAUAUGACUUCUCCUCCCUCCUGAAGCCCCACUAGAAUGGCAAUAAAGGGAUCAAAAAGACAUACUCCUAUAAAGACAAAAUAGGAGAGGAGACGAGAACAACAAACUUGAAAACUGGAAAGCAGCUGCAUAAUAUAGAAGAUGCCAGCUAUUUUGCACCACAGAACCAGAAAGACUCAGGAAUUGGAGAUACCAGAUUAGCCCUGAGCUAACAUCUGCUGCCAAUCCUCCUCUUUUUGCUGAAGAAUACUGGCCCUGAGCUAACAACUGUGCCCAUCAACCUCUUCUUUAUAUGUGAGAUGCCUGCCAGAGCAUGACUUGAUAAGUGGUGUGUAGGUCUGUGUCCAGGAUCUAAACCGGCAAACCCGGGACUCCCCAAGCGGAAUGUGCCAACUUAACCACUGUGCCACCAGCAUGGCUUGACAGGUGGUGCAUAGGUCCACACCUGGGAUCCGAAUGGGCAAACCAUGGGCUACUGAAGCAGAACAUGUGAACUUAACCGCUGGACCACCGGGCUGGUCUCCAGAUAAGUUCAAUUUUUGAGAAAAUUGUCCAUUUUUCAUCCAGUGUGAAGAUUGUUUGCAUACUGUUAUUCAUAAAGUCCUCUUAUUAUAUUGUAACAAUAUUUUAUUAUAAAAAAUUAAAUAUACAUUAAAGUUGAAAGAAUUUUACAGUGAACAUCUGUAAUAGUUAAUUCUGUCAUUAAUAUUUUACUUGACUUGCUUUUUUUAUACUUCUGUCUAUCUAUCCUUCUAUCUAGCCUUCAAUUUGUGUUAUUUUUUUGGAUACAUUUCAAAGUAAAUUGUAGACAUUGAUAUACUUCUUCCUAAAUACUUCAGCAUGCACGUCACUAAUUGUACUUCAAUAUUUAUUCAUAGUUUGUUUCUUUUAAGGUAAAAUUUACAUACAAUGAAAUGCACAAAGCUUAAGUGUACAUACAGAGAUUUUGACAAAUGCAUAUACCUGUGAAAUCCGUACCUCAUCAAGAUUAGAACAUUAUCAUCAUUCCAGAAAAUUCCAUCUUAUUCUUGUUAAGAGAUCUUAAUUUUCUGGUGAAAAUCUCCGUGUUUUCAUCUAAUUCAUCUGUCUUCUAUUUUCUUGAUCAUAUCAAUCAGAGUUAUUUUAAAAUCCUAUUAUUAACUCCAGAAUUGGGGUAAUCUGUGAAUCUGCUUCUACUGUCUACUUUUUGUGUAUGGUCUUACAUAUUUGUCAUUUUGCCUUGUAUGCUGAACAUUGUGGAUAAAAGAACCAUAAGAACCAGAGAUCCUCUAGAUGAUGCUAUUGUAGAGGAGGAACAAAUACUCCUCUACCUUAAAGGUUCUUCUGGCUGGUCUAAGAAUGAAAUUGACAUAAGACAGAAUAACAGGAGGAAAUCAAACAAAUUUAAUAACAUGUAUACAUGGGAGAAGCCCAGGAAAACUGAGUAACUCGCCAAAAUGGCUGAAGCCACCACCCUAAAUACCAUUUUCAGCUAAAGACAAAAGAGGAUGUUGUGGGUAGUGAUUUGGAACUUCACAGUGGAGGCAGGCAAUUCACAUGGAGAUUGAAAAGCAAAUGUUUGGUAAACAAAUGUUUGCCAUAUCUUGCAAAGACAAUGUGACAUGAUGAGGACUUUGAUUAAAUGGGCCUUGCUAGGUUCCUCCCUGUCUGUCAUAUCUAAUUCACAUGGUACUAUGGUUAUAAAUAGUGAUAGCUCUUUCCUGGGACAGGCCUUCUGUCUUAAAUUCUUUUCGGCAGUUAGGGGGAAGGUCAAAGUUUCUUUCUGAGUCUUUUGUUCUUAAAAAUAAUCAAGCCCAAAAGACACAUUUUGGGGUGGUAAAUUCUGAUCCCCAACACUAUCUUUCACCAAAGAUGGCUCCCUUUUCUUCUUUUUAGCAUAUAGGGUGAGGGGGUAACCACUGGUUCCAGUCGGGCUCUAAACUGAGUUAGAUGUGUGCUGGAGUUUUAAUAAGAUUCAGUCUACAGUUAGUUUUACCCAUUCAUGCAGCCUGGUCUUUCCAGGUUUUUGAUUGAAGAGUCUGUUGGGUCUUUGUCUCUUAAGCUCUGAAAGUUUGUGAGAGGUUCUGUUAUCCUCUUUAGAGGAUUUCAGUUUAGCUCUUUGGCCUCCUUCUUUCUGUAGCUUCACACCCAGCAAAUGCUUUGAAAGAGUGACUGGCUCAGUGAGUCUCUAUCAGUGAGUUUAAUGCAGGCUCCCUCCCCCUGCAGUGACUUUGUUUCCUAAUCACCACAGAGUGCAGAAGAUCUCAUUUUGCAUUUUAGAAGCUUUGGUUCUGUCCACACAACCCCAGUACUCAUAAAUGUCCUGGGGAAAGACUGGUCAUGUGUUUGAAGUUGCUCAGAUUUCCAGUUGUCGCUCCACCCUUAUAACAACCACUAAAAGCUUUGAUGGUUUGUUUUUUCCCAGCAAAGGCCCUCUGCUUGGACCGAGACCAAUGGUGUGUUGGCACCCAGAAGCAGAAAAUUCCUCCGGGGCAAAAACUCCUGGAGAUUGUCAUCUUACACCAGAAUGGUUCUCUUCCCUCUGGAAUUUUAAUUCAUUUUGUCUUCAUUUCUUCCAUAGCUUCCAAUAUCCACAAAACAUAAUUUUUGUAACUAAUGUAACUUUUUCUAUUUGUUGCUGUAGGAGCAUUUGCCUGCCAAGACAUACUGCACUUUGCCCGAAAGUUUGUGCAUUAUAAUUUUAAUGUACAUAGGUGAUUUUGUAUUUUAUAUCUCAUUAUUUCUUACUUAUUUUUUUACUCUACCCUGUAGCUCUAAAGUAAAUCCAUGUUGCUAUGUUCACAGCUAAUCUGUUGUUUCUACUGCUGCAAAAUAUUUCAUUUUACCUACUCACUUGCCUGUUGAUGAAUGCUUGUACUCCUUGUACCACAAAAAACAUGUUUCCUCUUAUGGUCCUACAAGAUAAUUCAACAUGGGUAUAGAUCCAGGACUAGAAUUUCUAGGUUGUGGGGCAGCAUAUCCUUAACUUGUCUUAAGUAGUAUCAUAUUGCUCUCUAGAAUGGCUGCGGUACAUAAAAUUUCCUAUAUUCCCACAUCUUCACCGACAGCACCAUCUAAUUUUAAAAUUUUGUCAGUCUCUUAUAUGUAAAGCAGGUGUUCUCAAAGUAUGGUCCAGGACCCUGUGAAAGUCCUUGAGCCCCUUUUAGGGGGUCCGCAAGGUGAAAACUAUUUUCAUACUCAUAUUAAGACACUAUUCAGUCUUUUGAGUCUCAUUCUUGUAUGAGAGUAUAGUGGAGUUUUCCAGAGGCUACAUAAAAUGUGAUAUUUCAAUGGACUGAAUGCAGAGGCAGAUAUGAGAUCCCAUCUGUCUUUUAUUAAGCCAGAUAUUAUAGAGAUUUGUAAGACUGUAAAGCAGUGUUACUUUUCUCACUAAAUUUUUGGAAAAUAUAGUUAUUUUUCACGAAAAUAUUUAUGAUAAAAUGUAAUGGGCUUAUUAUUUUUAUUUAAAAAUGAAUGAAUAAAUAUUUAAAGAUUUUCAGCUUUAAUUUCUAACAUGGUAAAUAUAAAUUGAUAUAACUCACAUAUAUAAAAGCACUUUGGGGUCCCUGAUAUUUUUCUGAGUGCAAAGGCGUCCUGAGAUUAAAAUGUUUGAGAACUGUUGGUAUAAUUUUAAUUUGCAUUUCUCUUUAUAAUUCAUGAGUUGAAUAUCUCUUCAUAUGUGCAUUACUUUUUUGGGCUAACAAAUUAAUUUGAAGCUUAACAGCUUAAAACAACAAACAUUAUUAUCUCCCAGUUCCUGUAGGUCAGUAGUUUGAUAGCAGCUUAGAUGAGUUGUUCUGGCUCAGAGUUUCUCACAGGGUUAAAGUCAAAGAUUGGCUGGGGCUGUGGUUAUCUGAAGGCUUGACUGGGAUUGGAGGAUGCUGUGGCAGAAGACCUCACCGUGGCAGACGGCCUCACUCCCUCAGCACUUGAACCCUUCCAUAGGGCUGAUUGAGUGUUCUCACUGCGUGGCAGCUGGCUUCUCCUAGAAUAAGUAAUCUGUGAGAGAACAAAGGAGAGGUGUGAAUGCAUCAGACUGGUAGAAAAAUCCCAGAGCUUCUGCUGAAGGGUUUGGACUUGCCCUCUGUGAAGCUGAUGUGGAGGAUGCUGGAGAGAAAAGGCGUAGGAAACAAGAACUGUUAAUCUCUAGUGACUACAAUGUUGAAUCAAGCCAAAAAGAAAAUUGUCAUAUCAAUAUCAUACAUGCUAAGGGAUGGGAGAGGUAAUGACUGGUGAAUGAAUGUGACUGGUGAACUCACAAAAGGACAAUUUUAAUACAAAUCACAAUGAUUGUUGAGCCAAUCCCGUUACAAACAGUACAACUACCAGCAGGGAGCUGACUUGUUGAGGUAUGAUGACUUAGAAGUCUUUGGUCAGCAUGUAACCCUCAGCCAUGACAAAUACAAGCAAGAAGUAGAGCUGUGACACACCGUCCUCAAAAGAGAUGAUGUUCUUCUUUGAAACAAAGUUACUCAGUAUUUUAGAGAUAAUAAUAGAGCAGUUGCAGAGACCAACAAAUGAUGAAUUUCUGUGAAGUCAUACAUGGGACUGUGAAGCUGAGAAUUAAGAAAAUUAUAGCAGUCAAGACCAGGCUCCCCACUAUGGUGCUCCCUGGAAGAGGGGGAGCUGAAGCCCUGGCUGCCUUGUUGAGAAUGAAAUCUGUCACUGUGUAGUGAUUUUCUGCAACGAUUCUCUUCCAGAUAGGAGGCCUGUGGUAAGGCCUGGUAUGAGCAUCUUCCCCAACUGAACUGUUUUUACUCAUCUCACUACUGCUGUUGAUUGUUAGGAGUCAGACCAGCUGGGCAGCGUUUCAAAGACCAGCAUGGUUAGAAGAAAUGGGCAAGGCCUGGAGUAUUUACUGCCUACAACUUUUUCAUAUAGUUAGAAAUAAAAACUUUUGUGUUUCACUUC
This is a non-coding RNA of Equus caballus (horse), 8680 nucleotides long. NCBI's taxonomy places the organism in Eukaryota, Metazoa, Chordata, Mammalia, Perissodactyla, Equidae. The record is from RefSeq and is a predicted model, not a curated record.